This is a non-coding RNA of Pogona vitticeps (central bearded dragon), 1636 nucleotides long. NCBI's taxonomy places the organism in Eukaryota, Metazoa, Chordata, Lepidosauria, Squamata, Agamidae. The record is from RefSeq and is a predicted model, not a curated record.
AUCCAGCUGACCCGGGAAUUUUGGAAGCUGUAAUUAGAAAAACAACACUUCUAAACUCUAGGAUAUCUACAUACUCCACUCUACACCACUUCACGUCCUCCACCACCACUCAAACAGACAAAAGAAAAUGGUGCCAGUUACUCCUUACUGGGCUGUUUGGAGGUUCCUCCCAUUUUCUCCCCAAAGAGAUUUUGAGAACUUGCAGACCUCAGAUAACCCCCAAGUGGCCAGAUAUGCAUGAGCAGUGCUGCUUUGGCCGCAGUCCGGGAAACAUGGGAAACCCUGAUUGGGAAAUAUUGCAUCUUUUUGAAACCAGCAUCAAACAUUGAUCUAUACAACAUUUCUGCAUGUCAGAAAUAUCAAACUAUUUAUUUGUCUGGAGGCUAUAAAGCAUUGCAACUCACUGUGAAUUUUACUGAGAUUUUCUACUGAAGAAAAUUGUUCUGCAGUAAAGCAUAUCUAUCACGAAAGAAUUCUUGCAAGCUCAGCUGUCAGAGAGAAAUAUUAUAUAGUAGAGGCUUCCACAACCUGGUGUCCUCCAGGUGUGUUGCACUGCAAGUCCCAUCAUCCCCACCCAAGUUGGAAAGGCAAAUCUCUGGGGCAUAGCAGUGCAAAAGGCUAAUUUAGUAUUCUAUUUCAAAAAUAGUUACAGGAAAUGAAAUAUAUGAGGACUGCCAUGUAAACAAGUAUCUGAGACAACCAAGAUAGUUUCUCCAAUCCUAAUGAUCUGUAGUCACUAGCUUCAGUAGACCAGUAUUUUUAGAUUGAUACAUAAAGCAAUUUGGGCAGACUUUAUUGUAAUAUAUACCUUGAUUCUAGAUUAGAAUUUAACUAGCUUUUGUUCAUCUCAUCAGCACUGUCCUGAUAUAAUUACAUUUAGUACUUACAAGGAGUAGAUGAAUUUCAGUCCCAUUACAUCCUUCAAAUUACUAGAAUAAUUGUUGAGGAGUUGAUAGUGGUUGAGAUUAUGCCAGCAGCCCAUCCCAGUAAUUCACACAAUGUGCUGACUGCAAGAAAGAAAACCCUUGUUCUUUCAGAAAACAUCAGAAUUUUCUAAAGUACAGUGAGAUCAUUUCAGUACCUAUCAAAGAGAUACCCAUUGCUUCUGAGUUCCUGAUAAAGAUCAGAGUAGCUUUCCGUAUAGAACAAGCUUGACCUACAUUCCAUAGUUAGAUACCCCAGGAGAUCAGAGGUAUGGAACAUUUGGGCCUCCAGGUGUUUGAGAUGUAGACUUCCAGCAAAUCCAUCUGGCCAGUGCUAAUGGGAUUCUGGAUAUUGUCAUCCAGAGCAUCUCAAGGGUCCAAGAUCCCUCAUCCAUUCCCUCGACGGCCGCGCUGUGCGUGCUCUCAAGUGCUGAAAUUUUUUUACUCUUCAAGCUGAGAGAGACUAGGAAUAUGUUACUUCUUGCAGCAAGGAAAUGCGUUUGUUUUAUGGCUCCACGUUACAAACUCCCUCUCUUUAAGGGAUCAAAGUCAUGGACUGGAAGCAGGACAUAGCAUUCAACCUCACAACAGAAUUCAACUGAAUGUAAUCUGGAGGAAGCUGAAAUUUUCACUCAGAUCUGAAUAUUUUAAAUCAAAAAUUAAUUUCAGUGUACUGUGUUAAGAAGCUUGAAUACAUCCCAAAAUAAAUACAA